UUGCGAGGGAAACGGCAACAGCUCAAAUUUGAAAUCUGGCCCCUUCGGGGUCCGAGUUGUAAUUUGUAGAGAGUGUUUCGGGCGAGACCGCGGUCUAAGUCUGUUGGAACAUGGCGUCACAGAGGGUGAGAAUCCCGUAUGCGACCGCGGAUCGAGUCCGUGUGAAACCUCUUCGACGAGUCGAGUUGUUUGGGAAUGCAGCUCAAAAUGGGUGGUAAAUUUCAUCUAAAGCUAAAUACUGGCUGGAGACCGAUAGCGCACAAGUAGAGUGAUCGAAAGAUGAAAAGCACUUUGGAAAGAGAGUCAAACAGUACGUGAAAUUGUUGAAAGGGAAGCGCUUGCAACCAGACCUGUCCGCAGGCGAUCAACCGCUGUUCUCAGCGGUGCACUCGCUCUGCGAUCAGGCCAGCAUCGGUCCGGGCGGCCGGACAAAGGCCUUGGGAAUGUAGCUUCCUCCGGGGAGUCUUAUAGCCCUCGGUGCAAUGCGGCCAGCCGGGACCGAGGAUCGCGCUUCGGCUCGGAUGCUGGCGUAAUGGUUGUAAGCGACCCGUCUUG
Molecule: ribosomal RNA, 555 nt
Filed under: Omphalora arizonica
Lineage: Eukaryota; Fungi; Ascomycota; Lecanoromycetes; Lecanorales; Parmeliaceae
Description: eukaryotic LSU rRNA
Rfam family: Eukaryotic large subunit ribosomal RNA
Source: RNAcentral